RNAcentral lists this ribosomal RNA (497 nucleotides) under uncultured bacterium. RNAcentral describes it as "partial 16S ribosomal RNA". It matches the Rfam family "Bacterial small subunit ribosomal RNA", at positions 28 to 507 of the family's 1533-position model. The record is from RNAcentral.
GAUGAACGCUGGCGGCGUGCCUAAUACAUGCGAGUCGAGCGAACGGACGAGAAGCUUGCUUUUCUGAUGUUAGCGGCGGACGGGUGGGUAACACGUGGAUAACCUACCUAUAAGACUGGGAUAACUUCGGGAAACCGGAGCUAAUACCGGAUAAUAUUUUGAACCGCAUGGUUCAAAAGUGAAAGACGGUCUUGCUGUCACUUAUAGAUGGAUCCGCGCUGCAUUAGCUAGUUGGUAAGGUAACGGCUUACCAAGGCAACGAUGCAUAGCCGACCUGAGAGGGUGAUCGGCCACACUGGAACUGAGACACGGUCCAGACUCCUACGGGAGGCAGCAGUAGGGAAUCUUCCGCAAUGGGCGAAAGCCUGACGGAGCAACGCCGCGUGAGUGAUGAAGGUCUUCGGAUCGUAAAACUCUGUUACUAGGGAAGAACAUAUGUGUAAGUAACUGUGCACAUCUUGACGGUACCUAAUCAGAAAGCCACGGCUAACUACGUG